Molecule: ribosomal RNA, 388 nt
Filed under: uncultured bacterium
Lineage: Bacteria
Description: bacterial SSU rRNA
Rfam family: Bacterial small subunit ribosomal RNA
Source: RNAcentral
GACGAACGCUGGCGGCGUGCUUAACACAUGCAAGUCGAGCGGUAAGGCCCUUUCGGGGGUACACGAGCGGCGAACGGGUGAGUAACACGUGGGUGACCUGCCCUCAGCUCUGGGAUAAGCCUGGGAAACCGGGUCUAAUACUGGAUAUGACUCCAUGACGCAUGUUGUGGGGUGGAAAGCCUUGUGCGGCUGAGGAUGGGCCCGCGGCCUAUCAGCUUGUUGGUGGGAUGAUGGCCUACCAAGGCGACGACGGGUAGCCGGCCUGAGAGGGCGACCGGCCACACUGGGACUGAGACACGGCCCAGACUCCUACGGGAGGUAGCAGUGGGGAAUCUUGCGCAAUGGGCGAAAGCCUGACGCAGCGACGCCGCGUGAGGGAUGACGGCCU